GCUUGCUUUCUCGAGCGAGUGGCGAACGGGUGAGUAACGCGUGAGGAACCUGCCUCAAAGAGGGGGACAACAGUUGGAAACGACUGCUAAUACCGCAUAAGCCCACGACCCGGCAUCGGGUAGAGGGAAAAGGAGCAAUCCGCUUUGAGAUGGCCUCGCGUCCGAUUAGCUAGUUGGUGAGGUAACGGCCCACCAAGGCGACGAUCGGUAGCCGGACUGAGAGGUUGAACGGCCACAUUGGGACUGAGACACGGCCCAGACUCCUACGGAAGGCAGCAGUGGGGAAUAUUGCACAAUGGGGGAAACCCUGAUGCAGCGACGCCGCGUGGAGGAAGAAGGUCUUCGGAUUGUAAACUCCUGUUGUUGAGGAAGAUAAUGACGGUACUCAACAAGGAAGUGACGGCUAACUACGUGCCAGCAGCCGCGGUAAAACGUAGGUCACAAGCGUUGUCCGGAAUUACUGGGUGUAAAGGGAGCGCAGGCGGGAAGACAAGUUGGAAGUGAAAUCCAUGGGCUCAACCCAUGAACUGCUUUCAAAACUGUUUUUCUUGAGUAGUGCAGAGGUAGGCGGAAUUCCCGAUGUAGCGGUGGAAUGCGUAGAU
RNAcentral lists this ribosomal RNA (602 nucleotides) under uncultured Lachnospiraceae bacterium. RNAcentral's name for it is "bacterial SSU rRNA". It matches the Rfam family "Bacterial small subunit ribosomal RNA", at positions 72 to 695 of the family's 1533-position model. The record is from RNAcentral. Lineage: Bacteria; Bacillati; Bacillota; Clostridia; Lachnospirales; Lachnospiraceae.